CGGGUAACGGCCACCAAGACGACGAUCAGUAGCCGACCUGAGAGGGUGACCGGCCACAUUGGGACUGAGACACGGCCCAGACUCCUACGGGAGGCAGCAGUGGGGAAUAUUGCACAAUGGGGGAAACCCUGAUGCAGCAGCGCCGCGUGAAGGAAGACGGUUUUCGGAUUGUAAACUUCUGUUCUUAGUGAAGAUAGUGACGGUAGCUAAGGAGCAAGCCACGGCUAACUAC
RNAcentral lists this ribosomal RNA (232 nucleotides) under uncultured bacterium. RNAcentral's name for it is "partial 16S ribosomal RNA". It matches the Rfam family "Bacterial small subunit ribosomal RNA", at positions 254 to 504 of the family's 1533-position model. The record is from RNAcentral.